UUAAGAAAAUAAGUGCAAGCGGUGGAUGCCUUGGCAUUCAGAGGCGAUGAAGGACGUGAUAAUCUGCGAUAAGCUUCGGUUAGCUGGUAAAUGAGCUAUGACCCGGAGAUUUCCGAAUGGGGGAACCCACCUGACACAAGUUGGGUACUCACUCGAUAUAGAGUGUAGAGCGAACGAGGGGAACUGAAACAUCUAAGUACCCUUAGGAAGAGAAAUCAAUUGAGAUUCCCGUAGUAGUGGCGAGCGAAGUGGGAAGAGCCUGGUAUGAUUUAGCUGUAAUUAUAGUAGAACAAGUUGGGAAGCUUGACGAUAGAGGGUGAUAGUCCCGUAUACGAAAUAAUCACAGUGGAACUAAGCAUACGAACAAGUAGGACGGGGCACGUGGAACCUUGUCUGAAUAUGGGGGGACCAUCCUCCAAGGCUAAAUACUCCUGAAUGACCGAUAGUGAACUAGUACCGUGAGGGAAAGGUGAAAAGAACCCUUAUAAAGGGAGUGAAAUAGAAUCUGAAACCGCUUGCAUACAAGCAGUAGGAGCAUGAUUUAGUCAUGUGACUGCGUACCUUUUGUAUAAUGGGUCAGCGAGUUAUUUUUAGUGGCGAGGAUAACUGAAUAAGGGAUCCGUAGCGAAAGCGAGUUUUAAUAGGGCGACUAGUCGCUAGGAGUAGACCCGAAACCGGCGCGAUCUAUCCAUGGCCAGGUUGAAGAUUAGGUAGUACUAAUUGGAGGACCGAACCCAAUACUGUUGCAAAAGUAUGGGAUGAGCUGUGGAUCGGAGUGAAAGGCUAAUCAAGCACGGAGAUAGCUGGUUCUCCCCGAAAACUAUUUAGGUAGUGCCUCGUGUAUAACUCAUUGGGGUAAAGCACUGUUUCGACAAUGGGGGUUUUACGACCUUACUGACUCGAUGCAAACUCAGAAUACGAUGAAGUUCGAUCACGGGAGACACACUGCGGGUGCUAAGGUCCGCAGUGGAAAGGGAAACAGCCCAGACCGCCAACUAAGGUCCCAAAGUCAUAGCUAAGUGGGAAACGAAGUGGGAAGGCCCAGACAGCCAGGAGGUUGGCUUAGAAGCAGCCACCCUUUAAAGAAAGCGUAAUAGCUCACUGGUCGAGUCGGCCUGCACGUAAGAUUUAACGGGGCUAAGCUAUGCACUGAAGUUGCGGAAUAUAUUUAGUAUAUUGGUAGGGGAGCGUUCUGUAAGCCGAUGAAGGUGAAUUGAGAAGUUUGCUGGAGGUAUCAGAAGUGCGAAUGCUGACAUGAGUAACGUAAAAUAAGUGAGAUUCUUAUUGGCCGAAAACCCAAGGGUUCCUACGCAAUGUUAAUCAACGUAGGGUAAGCCGGCCCCUAAGGCGUAGCUGAAGAGUGAAGUCGAUGGGAAACAGGUUAAUAUUCCUGUGCUGCUUAUAUGAACGAAGGAGGGACGGAGAAGGUUAGGUAGGCCUGGCGAAUGGUUGUCCAGGUGAAAGUAUGUAGGUAGGAAUGCUAGGCAAAUCCGGUGUUCUGUUGAUCUGAGAUACGAGACGAAGUUAAACUUGUUUGACGAAGCUAUUGAUACCAUGCUUCCAGGAAAAGCUUCUAAGUAUAUUGUAUAAGUGACCGUACUGUAAACCGACACUGGUGGGUAGGUAGAGAAUACUAAGGCUAUGAGAUAACUCUGGUGAAGGAACUAGGCAAAAUGACACCGUAACUUUGGAAGAAGGUGUGCCCUUGAUGGUGAUGAGACUUGCUCUUUGAGCUGUUGGGGGUUGCAGAUACCAGGUGGCUGCGACUGUUUAUCAAAAACACAGCACUCUGCGAAAUCGUAAGAUGAAGUAUAGGGUGUGACGCCUGCCCGGUGCUGGAAGGUUAAUUGAAGGGGUUAGCGCAAGCGAAGCUCUGGAUCGAAGCCCCAGU
This 1891-nucleotide ribosomal RNA is filed under the name Francisella tularensis subsp. holarctica. Its description in RNAcentral is "bacterial LSU rRNA". It matches the Rfam family "Bacterial large subunit ribosomal RNA", at positions 1 to 1924 of the family's 2925-position model. The record is from RNAcentral. Lineage: Bacteria; Pseudomonadati; Pseudomonadota; Gammaproteobacteria; Thiotrichales; Francisellaceae.